ACGGAGCAAUCCUGGUGGCGAGUGGCGAACGGUGAGUAAUAUNUCGGAACGUGCCAGUCGUGGGGAUAACGUAGCGAAAGUUACGCUAAUACCGCAUACGAUCUAAGGAUGAAAGCGGGGAUCGCAAGACCUCGCGCGAUUGGAGCGGCCGAUAUCAGAUUAGGUAGUUGGUGAGGUAAAGGCUCACCAAGCCAACGAUCUGUAGCUGGUCUGAGAGGACGACCAGCCACACUGGAACUGAGACACGGUCCAGACUCCUACGGGAGGCAGCAGUGGGGAAUUUUUGGACAAUGGACGCCAAGUCUGAUCCAGCCAUUCCGCGUGCAGGAUGAAGGCCCUCGGGUUGUAAACUGCUUUUGUACGGAACGAAAAGGUUUGUCUUAAUACGAUGAGCUCAUGACGGUACCGUAAGAAUAAGCACCGGCUAACUACGUG
Molecule: ribosomal RNA, 435 nt
Filed under: uncultured bacterium
Lineage: Bacteria
Description: bacterial SSU rRNA
Rfam family: Bacterial small subunit ribosomal RNA
Source: RNAcentral